Rhinolophus ferrumequinum (greater horseshoe bat) is the source of this 108-nucleotide small nuclear RNA. The record is from Ensembl. Lineage: Eukaryota; Metazoa; Chordata; Mammalia; Chiroptera; Rhinolophidae.
GUGCUCGCUUCGGCAGCACAUAUACUAAAAUUGGAAUGAUACAGAGAAGAUUAGCAUGGCCCCUGCGCAAGGAUGACACGCAAAAAAAGUGACACAGCUUCAAACUUG